AGUGAACGCUGGCGGUAGGCCUAACACAUGCAAGUCGAACGGCAGCACAGUAAGAUCUUGCUCUUACGGUUGGCGAGUGGCGGACGGGUGAGGAAUACAUCGGAAUCUACUUUUUCUUGGGGGAUAACGUAGGGAAACUUACGCUAAUACCGCAUACGACCUACGGGUGAAAGCAGGGGAUCUUCGGACCUUGCGCGAUUGAAUGAGCCGAUGUCGGAUUAGCUAGUUGGCGAGGUAACGUCCCACCAAGGCAACGGUCCGUAGCUGAUCUGAGAGGGGGAGAGGCCACACGGGAACUGAGACACGGUCAAGACUCCGAAGGGAGGACGCAGUGGGGAAGGUUGGACAAUGGGCGAAAGCCUGAAGGAGCAACGCCGCGUAAGGGAGGAAGGCCUUCGGAUCGUAAAACUCUGUGAUUAGGGAAGAACAUAAGUGUAAGUAACUGUGCACAUCGUGACGGGACCUAAUCAGAAAGCCAGGGCUAACUACGUG
RNAcentral lists this ribosomal RNA (492 nucleotides) under uncultured bacterium. Its description in RNAcentral is "partial 16S ribosomal RNA". It matches the Rfam family "Bacterial small subunit ribosomal RNA", at positions 29 to 507 of the family's 1533-position model. The record is from RNAcentral.